GACGAACGCUGGCGGCGUGCUUAACACAUGCAAGUCGAACGGAAAGGCCCUGCUUUUGUGGGGUGCUCGAGUGGCGAACGGGUGAGUAACACGUGAGUAACCUGCCCUUGACUUUGGGAUAACUUCAGGAAACUGGGGCUAAUACCGGAUAGGAGCUCCUGCUGCAUGGUGGGGGUUGGAAAGUUUCGGCGGUUGGGGAUGGACUCGCGGCUUAUCAGCUUGUUGGUGGGGUAGUGGCUUACCAAGGCUUUGACGGGUAGCCGGCCUGAGAGGGUGACCGGCCACAUGGGGACUGAGAUACGGCCCAGACUCCUACGGGAGGCAGCAGUGGGGAAUAUUGCACAAUGGGCGGAAGCCUGAUGCAGCAACGCCGCGUGCGGGAUGACGGCCUUCGGGUGGGAAACCGCUUUCGCCUGUGACGAAGCGUGAGUGACGGUAAUGGGGAAAGAAGCACCGGCUAACUACGU
Molecule: ribosomal RNA, 467 nt
Filed under: uncultured bacterium
Lineage: Bacteria
Description: partial 16S ribosomal RNA
Rfam family: Bacterial small subunit ribosomal RNA
Source: RNAcentral